CAAUAAGCGGAGGAAAAGAAACUAACAAGGAUUCCCCUAGUAACUGCGAGUGAAGCGGGAAAAGCUCAAAUUUAAAAUCUGGUGGCCUUUGGCCAUCCGAGUUGUAAUUUAGAGAAGUGUCUUCCGCGCUGGACCGUGCACAAGUCUCCUGGAAUGGAGCGUCAUAGAGGGUGAGAAUCCCGUCUUUGGCACGGACUCCCGGUGCUUCUGCGAUGCACUCUCAAAGAGUCGAGUUGUUUGGGAAUGCAGCUCAAAAUGGGUGGUGAACUCCAUCUAAAGCUAAAUACUGGCGAGAGACCGAUAGCGAACAAGUACCGUGAGGGAAAGAUGAAAAGCACUUUGGAAAGAGAGUGAAACAGUACGUGAAAUUGUUGAAAGGGAAACGCUUGAAGUCAGUCGCGUUGACCGAGACUCAGCCUUGCCCUUGGCUUGGUGUGGUUCUUGGUUCGACGGGUCAGCAUCAAUUUCGAUCCUUGGAUAAUGGCAAGGGAAAGGUAGCACCUUUUAGGUGUGUUAUAGUCCUCUGUCGGAUGCAAGGGUUGGGAUUGAGGAACUCAGCACGCACCUCCGGGUGUCGGGGUCUUGCCCACGUUACGUGCUUAGGAUGCUGGCAUAAUGGCUUUAAACGACCCGUCUUGAAACACG
Molecule: ribosomal RNA, 645 nt
Filed under: Russula kanadii
Lineage: Eukaryota; Fungi; Basidiomycota; Agaricomycetes; Russulales; Russulaceae
Description: eukaryotic LSU rRNA
Rfam family: Eukaryotic large subunit ribosomal RNA
Source: RNAcentral